Molecule: ribosomal RNA, 738 nt
Filed under: Helianthus sp. DH-2012
Lineage: Eukaryota; Viridiplantae; Streptophyta; Magnoliopsida; Asterales; Asteraceae
Description: eukaryotic LSU rRNA
Rfam family: 5.8S ribosomal RNA (bases 295-450)
Source: RNAcentral
GUAGGUGACCUGCGGAAGGAUCAUUGUCGAACCCUGCACAGCAGAACGACCCGUGAACAAGUUAACACAUCUGGCCUUGCCGGGACCGAAGCAUUUGUUUCGGCCCUUGUGAGUCCUUGUCGACGUGCGUUCAUGCAUGGACCAUACCUUUGGUUUUGUCAUGGAUGUCAUGUUGACAAAAUAACAAACCCCCGGCACGAGAUGUGCCAAGGAAAACCAAAAUUAAAGAACACGUGCUGUUGCGCCCCGUUCGCGGUGUGCGCACUGUUCGUGGCUUCUUUGUAAACUUAAAACGACUCUCGGCAACGGAUAUCUCGGCUCACGCAUCGAUGAAGAACGUAGCAAAAUGCGAUACUUGGUGUGAAUUGCAGAAUCCCGUGAACCAUCGAGUUUUUGAACGCAAGUUGCGCCCGAAGCCAUUCGGUUGAGGGCACGUCUGCCUGGGCGUCACGCAUCACGUCGCCCCCACCAGGCAUCCCCUAUAGGGCUGUCUUGUGUUGGGGCGGAGAUUGGUCUCCCGUGCCCAUGGCGUGGUUGGCCUAAAUAGGAGUCUCCUCGCGAGGGACGCACGGCUAGUGGUGGUUGAUAAGACAGUCGUCUCGUGUCGUGCGUUUACUUUCUUGAGAGUAGAUGCUCUUAAAGUACCCUGAUGUGUUGUCUUAUGACGAUGCUUCGAUCGCGACCCCAGGUCAGGCGGGACUACCCGCUGAGUUUAAGCAUAUCAAUAAGNCGGAGGAA